CUGAGAGGUUGAACGGCCACAUUGGGACUGAGACACGGCCCAGUACUCCUACGGGAGGCAGCAGUGGGGGAUAUUGCGCAAUUGGGGGCAACCCUGACGCAGCAACGCCGCGUGAAGGAUGAAGGUUUUCGGAUUGUAAACUCUUUUAUUAAGGACGCAAAAAUGACGGUACUUAAUGAAUAAGCUCCGGCUAACUACGUGCCAGC
This 206-nucleotide ribosomal RNA is filed under the name uncultured Bacillota bacterium. Its description in RNAcentral is "uncultured Firmicutes bacterium partial 16S ribosomal RNA". It matches the Rfam family "Bacterial small subunit ribosomal RNA", at positions 292 to 512 of the family's 1533-position model. Lineage: Bacteria; Bacillati; Bacillota. The record is from RNAcentral.